GGGGAGCCGGCGCCGCUUCACCUGCCGGAGAAGGAGGUGGGGAAGGCGAGGCCAGAGGCGGCGACCCGUUCGGCGGCGCCUCCGGGUCCUAGAACCACAACUGCCGCCGGCUUGAGCCGGAGCACUGGCGGGCUCUGGGGAAGGGAGUCAACGCCGCGGGGCGGGAGGGGGUAAACCUCUGAGUCGAGGUUUCUCAGCAACUGCGAGCGCGGCUGGGAGACCCACGGUGGUGCGGCGUUGAGGCUCAGGGGCUGCGUCCCCCUGUCGGGCCCCCGACAGAGAAGGUGGGAACCCCCUUUCAGGCCCCCCACCCCUUGUUUCUCUUCUCGUCUGUUUCGCCCGGAGAUGAGCUAAGGACCAGAAGGAACCAUCUGCAAAUGAGAACCCCAAAGCGGGACGUGGGGCGCGGACACAGGCCAACGUAGACCCCACCACCUGUCCCACCCUCGACCAACUUUGCGCCUGCGCCGGCAACCCCAGUGGUUUUAGUAUGUGGCGCCUAUGAAAAAGGGCUGGCUUCGAGAAGCUGAGGACCACCAAGGCGGUUCCAAGGAAAACCAAGGGGGUUGGAUAAGGAAGGAUUAAAGCCAACCGCUGGGCUGGGAAAGGAGCAGGCACCGCAGAGGAUAAAAAAAAAAAUCUUGACGCUGGCACCUCCAGGGACCUAAAGUGGCCUCUCGGCUUGGAGAAUAACAAUCUCUGAUGUCUGCCAAUUACAGAAGCACUUCCAGGGCCUGUUUCUCUUUCAUCCUGACAGUGAUGACCAAGGGAGAUUGUCCAGAACCACUGGCAGGAGUUUAAGCAGGAGCCGAGAAGUUAUCAAAUCUUGAGGAAGGCCAUGGGAUGAUCUCCCCACACACAGACCUUGCCCGGGCUGAACUGAUUUAAGCUUUUCAUCUGCCAAGGUCAUCAACACCCCAGGAGCCUCACAGACUGUCAUCUCUGAGAGUGAAGACCCAGGAUUCCCAAGGUAGCUCUCAGCCAGCUCUUCUGUGUGGCAGGGAUGGGCCUCGUCAUCACUGAAAUACCUAAAGACUGGAAACAAAUCAAGUGUCCAGCUAGAGGGGAUUGGAUAACCGGCACUGUCGUUUAGAACUUUCCAUGAUGAUGGAAAUGUUUGCUGUCUUCACUGUCCAAUCGGGUAGCCACUAACCACAUGUGGCUGUUGAGCACCCAAAAUGUGGCUACUGUGACUGAGGAAGUGAAUUUUAAAUUUUACUUAAUUUUAAUUAAUUUCAAUUGAACUAGCCACAUGUGGCUAGUGGCUACUAUAUCUAACAGUGCAGGGUUAAAUAACCUAUGAUAUAUCCCCACAAUGGAAAACUACGCAGCUAUAAAAAACAAUCAGGAUGCCAGGUACUGAUAUGGAAACAUCUUCAAGUAUAUUUUUAAGCAAAAAUAUGAUGCAGAACAGUAUAUAUAGUAUGCUAUCUUUUGUAAGGAAGGGAGGUGGAAAUAAGAAUAAAUGCUUGAAUUUGCAUAGAGAAAAUAAUAAAAGUGGUGGCCUCUAGUGUGCUGGAGAAGCAAGGUGGACAAGAACAGGGUGAGAGAAAGACUUCACAAUGAAUUUCUUUCUGUAUCAUUUUGAUUUUUCAACCAUAUGCAUUUAUUAACCUAUCCAAAAAGUUAAAUUAAAAUAUAAGAUCUAUCUAUCCUGGCAACUUGUGGUAGAUGAGGAAAGGAACCUCACUACACUGCCGCUUCUAUGUGAUUCCCCGAAGGACGCCUCUGGAGACUUGGGACAAAGAACACCUCAUAAGCCACAGCCCAGAUGCGGCAGGUGCCCACAGCUGGCCUAUGUCAGAAUUGGAAUGUUAGGGGAUGGGGCCAGGAGCCUGUGCCGUUUAUGGUCUACCAGGUAACUCUCAGAGCAGACACUGAACUGCCCUUACCAAUCAAUACCUCCCAAUGAAGAGAGGACAGACCCUAGCACCUGGCACUUGUCCAUUCCCUACAGACAGCAAUGGUCACUGACAUCUUCUGAGCACUGAUGAUGGACCAGGCACUUUCCAUGGGUCAUUCUAAUCCAGACAGCAGCCAGGACAGGCUUCAUUAUCCCUGGGCUGAGGGUCCUCUGGAGUGACUAACUUACUCAAGGUCACACAGCUGGUAAAGAUCAGAGCUAGGAUCUGAAUUCCAUCCUUAACCCCCUGAGCCUCAGUUUCCUCCUCUGAAAAGAUGAAGAUAGGAUUUCAUAGAAUUGUUUUGAAUAUUAAAUAAAAUUUCAUGUAAAGGGCUAAGCAGAGACUUACAUUUCCAGCAGUAAGCUAGACUCAAUGCCCAGAGAAACCCUUCUAAUAUCCAAACCCAAAAACCCAUUGCCAUCGAAUCAAUUCCCACUAUUAGCUGCCCUAUAGGACAGAGGAGAACUGCCCCAUAGGGUGAUGGGUUUGAACUGUCAACCUACCGGUUAACAGCCAAGUGUUUAACCACUGAGCCAUCAGGGAUCUUUAGUGAAAUCAUAAACCAAAUAUCCCCUUGCUAUCCUGUCGCUUCUGACUCACAGCAACCCUAUGGGGUGGAAUAAGACUGCCCCAUAGGGUUUCC
Molecule: long non-coding RNA, 2547 nt
Organism: Trichechus manatus latirostris (Florida manatee)
Lineage: Eukaryota; Metazoa; Chordata; Mammalia; Sirenia; Trichechidae
Exons: 3
Source: RefSeq, a predicted model, not a curated record